Molecule: ribosomal RNA, 712 nt
Filed under: uncultured Acinetobacter sp.
Lineage: Bacteria; Pseudomonadati; Pseudomonadota; Gammaproteobacteria; Moraxellales; Moraxellaceae
Description: bacterial SSU rRNA
Rfam family: Bacterial small subunit ribosomal RNA
Source: RNAcentral
GUUGCUUCGGUAACUGAGCUAGCGGCGGACGGGUGAGUAAAGCUUAGGAAUCUGCCUAUUAGUGGGGGACAACAUUUCGAAAGGGAUGCUAAUACCGCAUACGUCCUACGGGAGAAAGCAGGGGACCUUCGGGCCUUGCGCUAAUAGAUGAGCCUAAGUCGGAUUAGCUAGUUGGUGGGGUAAAGGCCUACCAAGGCGACGAUCUGUAGCGGGUCUGAGAGGAUGAUCCGCCACACUGGGACUGAGACACGGCCCAGACUCCUACGGGAGGCAGCAGUGGGGAAUAUUGGACAAUGGGGGGAACCCUGAUCCAGCCAUGCCGCGUGUGUGAAGAAGGCCUUUUGGUUGUAAAGCACUUUAAGUGGGGAGGAGGCUUACCUGGUUAAUACCUGGGCUAAGUGGACGUUACCCACAGAAUAAGCACCGGCUAACUCUGUGCCAGCAGCCGCGGUAAUACAGAGGGUGCGAGCGUUAAUCGGAUUUACUGGGCGUAAAGCGCGCGUAGGUGGUUAAUUAAGUCAAAUGUGAAAUCCCCGAGCUUAACUUGGAAAUUGCAUUCGAUACUGGUUAGCUAGAGUAUGGGAGAGGAUGGUAGAAUUCCAGGUGUAGCGGUGAAAUGCGUAGAGAUCUGGAGGAAUACCGAUGGCGAAGGCAGCCAUCUGGCCUAAUACUGACACUGAGGUGCGAAAGCAUGGGGAGCAAACAGGAUUAG